UUGAAAGGGAAACGAUUGAAGUCAGUCGUACCUAUGGGUAAUCAGCCUUUUGGGUGUGAUUUUGUGGAGCGUGAGGAGUUAAACGCCUUCAUGCCUGCAUAUUCGUGCACUUUGGGUGUACUUGCCCGUAUGGUUGGUUAACAUCAAUUUUGGGGGUCAUAAAAUGACUGGAGGAAUGUAGCUUCGAUCUUGUAUUGAAGUGUUAUAGCCUUCGGUAGAUGUGAUGAUCGAGAUUGAGGAUUGCAACGGAUACCUUCGGGGCUACCUGUCUGAUCUCUGAUCGUUGCUCUGGUGCCGAAAGCUUGCUUACGGUUAUCAAAGUCGAUGGUCAAUAGGUUAGAACGGGUUAAAUUCGUUAAGGAUGUUGACGUA
This 372-nucleotide ribosomal RNA is filed under the name uncultured Glomeromycotina. RNAcentral's name for it is "LSU rRNA". The record is from RNAcentral. Lineage: Eukaryota; Fungi; Glomeromycota.